GGGCGAGUGGUGGAAUGGCAUACACGAUGGACUUAAAAUCCAUUGGUCUUUGACCGUAAGGGUUCGAAUCCCUUCUCGCCCA
This 82-nucleotide transfer RNA is filed under the name Candidatus Omnitrophota bacterium. RNAcentral describes it as "tRNA-Leu". It matches the Rfam family "tRNA". From Rfam's summary of the family: Transfer RNA (tRNA) molecules are approximately 80 nucleotides in length. Their secondary structure includes four short double-helical elements and three loops (D, anti-codon, and T loops). Lineage: Bacteria; Pseudomonadati; Candidatus Omnitrophota. The record is from RNAcentral.